UACGGGGGGGACAAGCGUUGUUCGGAAUUACUGGGCGUAAAGGGCUCGUAGGCGGCCAACUAAGUCCGACGUGAAAUCCCCAGGCUUAACCUGGGAACUGCGUCGGAUACUGGAUGGCUUGAAUUCGGGAGAGGGAUGCAGAAUUCCAGGUGUAGCGGUGAAAUGCGUAGAUAUCAGGAGGAACACCAAUGGCGAAGGCAGCUCGCUGGAACGGUACUGACGCUGAGGCGCGAAAGCGUGGGGAGCGAACAGG
RNAcentral lists this ribosomal RNA (253 nucleotides) under uncultured bacterium. Its description in RNAcentral is "partial 16S ribosomal RNA". It matches the Rfam family "Bacterial small subunit ribosomal RNA", at positions 524 to 776 of the family's 1533-position model. The record is from RNAcentral.